This 942-nucleotide ribosomal RNA is filed under the name Triticum aestivum (bread wheat). Its description in RNAcentral is "partial small subunit ribosomal RNA". The record is from RNAcentral. Lineage: Eukaryota; Viridiplantae; Streptophyta; Magnoliopsida; Poales; Poaceae.
AUGCAUGAGGUCUCGUCUCAUCUCUGCUUGUGUGCAGGAAGGCCAUGGAGUAGCUGCUUGGUUCAAGGGCAUGCCGUGGCUGCUCCCUAUGUAGAGCGCGUGGCCGGAGGAGCUGACCCUCCUCACGCAGCCAGGCCAGAUGCAGCGAUGGGUAUGAUUCAUGGCUGCCUACUACUGCCCUCCCUCCCUCCCUCUCCCACUCAGAUAUAUUUGAGCUGGGCUUUUUACUAUACUUCUGGUAGCUGGUUCUUUUCACCAAUUUUCAUCAGAUGCGGCCCCGGAGCUGUCGGGUUAAGCCUGUUGUUUGCCGUGUUUGGGAGUGGCGGGUUCGGGUGUGAGAGAUGGGCUUCAGGGUUUGAAGGGAUAUUACUUCUACAAAAAAUGGCCAAGGGAAGUUCAGUUCAAGCUAAGCAUACAAUUUCUGAAUUAGAUAAAGCUGCAGAUAGAAAAAAUACCACUUCUCAUGCACCAAGUGAUCCCCAGAAGGAUAGUUUCAUGGAGGUUGAUUCGCCUGUGACAGAUUACGCUCUGUACCAGUUCGGCACCAGCGGCGCCGUCGUCGCCGUCGCCACCACUGUUACGCAUCCGCUCGUUCUUCAUGUGUACAGGAAGAAUAGGAAGCAAAAAAGGGAGGUCAGGAGGACUUGUGUACACAUGAUUAGUACCUUGCUUAUGUUUGUACAGUACUAUUGGAUAUCCGAUGGAGCUUUCAUUGUUGUACUGCUUAUUCCACCCCUGGCUUUGCUUUCCCCUUUUCUGGCUGGUCUCGAUGCACUUUUCAGCCGAGGACCCAAAAGAUAUCCCGUGCCCCAUAUUUCUACACUUGUGGUUAUGCUGGUUUUAUCUUUUGAUUGGUUGUUAGCCCCCUACAAGAGUUGCCACAAUAUGAAAAGGCUCCAAAAGGUGUCACGGUCAGGAAUCUUUUUUCCAGGCAUCCAGUGA